This is a long non-coding RNA of Macadamia integrifolia, 4512 nucleotides long. RefSeq lists it as uncharacterized. The record is from RefSeq and is a predicted model, not a curated record. NCBI's taxonomy places the organism in Eukaryota, Viridiplantae, Streptophyta, Magnoliopsida, Proteales, Proteaceae. The transcript is spliced from 4 exons.
UAUUAUAUUUUGAAUUAACUAUGAUAUUAAAUAAAAAAGAUAAACAAAGAUGUAGAAAAAAAAUGAUAAAAAAAGUAAGAAAUACCUUACAAAUAAUAUCAGAGCUAAUGUUUGUCUAUACUUGCAGUUCUGUAGUAUAUUUGGUUUUCUAAUUUUUAGUACAUAUUAUUUUUAAUUAUCUUUAAUUAUUUUUAGUAUCGUUGAAGACCUUCUCACUGAGUUGGUUUGCUAUAUGGGCAUCUACUAAAACCCCACAGACACUUCUGCAAUUGUUAGCUAAGGCGAAAGGGUUAUCUCCCCCUUAAAAAUUCCAGCUUAUUAAUGCCAAAAGAGCAGUUGUCGACUUUUACUACCUCCUUAAAUUCUUAUAGGCUCAAUGCAUACACUGGUAUGUUGAAGCUUUACAUUGGUAUAAAAAAAAAUGAAUAAUAAUAAUAAUAAUAAAACUAAAAAAUACUUUACAAAUGGUAAAAGGGAAAUAGAGAUAUAGAAGAAAAAAUGAUAAAAGAAGUAAGAAAUACCUUACAAAUAGUAUCAGAGCUAAUGUUUGUCUAUACUUGCAGUUCUGUAGUAUCUUUAAUUUUCUAAUUUUUAAUACAUAUUAUUUUUAAUUAUCUUUAUUUAUUUUUAGUAUCGUUGAAGACCUUCUCACUGAGUUGGUUUGCUAAAUGGGCAUCUCCUAAGACCCCAUAGACACUUCUACAAAUGUUGGCUAAGGCCCUGCCUACCUUUGCCUCAUCAUCUGGCCAGGUAAUAACGAAAGGGUUAUCUCCCUUGAAAACUUUCAGCUUUUUAAUGGCGAAAGAGUAAUCGUCGACUUUUACUACCUCCUUAAAGUCUUGUAAGCUCGGUGCAUACAGUGGUAUGUUGAAGCUUUACAAUUAGUGUCAAAACAAUAAAGAAGAAUAAUAAGAAAAAUAGAAAUUAUUUUACAAUUGGUAUCAAAGCCAAAAAAAAGAUCUAUUAUUUUUUUAAUCAUUUUAUUUUAUUUUGAAUUAACUACGAUAUUAAAUAAAAAAGAUAAACAGGGAUAUAGAAAAAAAAGUGAUAAAAAGAAAAUACCUUACAAAUAGUAUUAGAGCUAAUGUUUGUCCAUUCUUGCAAUUAUGUAGGAUCUUUACACUAAGGUAGGAAAGUGCAUACAACUCAAAACCUGGGACCGUAGUUGAUCAAACUCCACAUUUAGACCUUCCAGAAAGUCAUAGACCCGGAUCUUUUCCUCUCACUUCUAAAAACGGACAUCUGCAGGGGUGUGAGGAGUAUACUCCUCAUAGAAGUCCAACUCAGUCCCUAGUGUGCACAACUCAUAUUAGUAUUGUGAUAGUGUGAGCACUCUCUACCUCAAGUCAAGAACCUUCUGGCGCAAUUCAAAGACCUGAGCAUCAUUCCCCGCUCGGGAAUAGAUAUCCUGGACAACAACAGAGUAAAAAAAGGAGAUAGCCAUGUGAAAGCUAUAGCUGCAUGGAGUUGACAAGGAAGGUAAUAACCAGAGAGUUGACACAUUCCACUUGUCAAUCUCAGGACUGAUGGUCGGAUGCUUUGAGGUUCUAGUGAGGUACCUGUAAUAGCGAUGGGACUUGAUUGAGUUGUAGAUCGAGCAUGUCCACGUAAGGUAGUUUGUGCCAUCAAUCUUAAUAGCACAAGGAGAAUUUAUUCAAUAUAACCGGAAAGCACCUUCAAGACCCAAUUGAUAUUUUUGUUAUUAUUAUUAAAGAGACUUAUGAUACUCACUUUCGUACCAUUGCAGCCACUAAGCUCUAUUCUUGGGUAGCUAUGUUUGGAAAAAAAAAACACUAAUAGUUCCUUCUUAUGCCUUCAAAAGUCAAUAAACCAUAUUAAAAGGGACGGAAGUGGCUGCAUCAUAAGUAUCACAACAUGUUAGGUGUUAGGUGCCUCCUAGAUUGGGUGAGUAUGUCGCAUCAAUGGUAGCAUUGGAAGCUAUGACAAAGUAUUUGGCCAUAAAGUUGAAAGUGGCAGUAAUAAACCAAACUAUGUCGCCCUAGGCUCUUUUCACUCUUGUAUGCUGCAUCAUAAGCAUCACAACAUGCUCGAUGCGUCCUAGGUUGGCCAUAAGUUGUCUUCCGCCAUCUCUUUAUAUGAAGGUAGCACUAUCGGGGAAAAAAUAGUCUGAUAUCUUCAUUCCUUAUGUUGUAGGAUGGUUAUCCACACUAAUUUUUCAUACAUAUAUACAACUUUGUGGCCUGUAAAACUAAUCCCAAAUACAAUCAGUACCUUUCAACCAUUUUCUUCCCAAUGCAGCUACGCGUCUGGUUAGCACGUCCUGUUAGGAAGGGCUAUGAAGAUAAGUGGACGGAUUUGGUAGCACAGACCUAGGGACUACGUUACUGGCGUGAUCUAUAUCCCUCUUUGGAGAGGUAGCUCAUCGGGCAAGUCUUUAGGCUCUAGGUCUUCAAAAUCAGAGAAAAUUUUCUUUAUAGGUUUUAGAAAAUUAUUAUCUUUUAUAGCAAAAAACAAUUUAGUCACUAUUACAGAGGUAAGUCCCGUUUCUUCACAGUAAAGUCCUCAAAAUAAUGAUAUGGUAGGGUUGGAAUGACAACUAGCAGUAGACAAGUUGCAGAGAAGAGGUGGAGACCACAACCAACAUAAGUAGAAAAAUUGAUUAUUCAGGGAGAAAAUAAAUAUUCAGGGUUUUGGGGAGCAUUACCAAAUAAGUGACCAGCCUUGUAGGUGCAAAGAACUGAGCGAUCUAAGCAAGAGAAGUGGCAAUCAAUGUUGUGGAAGCAACCAUAGUUGAACCAGCAGUAGAUAUCGCCAUGUAGAAGAUCCCCAAAAUCAGGGAGAAAACCUUGACAGAAAUUGAUUUCUCCAGUAUGGGGAAACUUGAUCAGACUUGUAGAUAAACAAAUCUGAGAGAUCUAAGCAAGAGAAGUAGUAAUCAAUGUUGGGAAGCCAUCAUAGUUGAAGAACCAAAAGUAGAGAUCACCAAAAUCAAUCUCAGGGAGAAAACCCUGACAAUUAAAUCGAUUUUCCCCAAAUUGAUUUCUCCCAUUUGGGGAAAAUCGAUCAGGUAGGGUAUGAGCUUCAAUAACCCAUCAAGUACGUAGCAAAAGAGCACUCCAAUGAAAAAAAGGAGGCUUAACCCAUAGUAGAAGUAGCAAUAGGUGGCUGCACACAACAACAGUGCAGAACAAGAGUCAAGAUCAGCAGAGAAAGAAAGAAAAACCCUUGAUUUGAUUACUGAGGCUCUGAGAUCAUGUUGCAAACCAGAAUCUAAGUAAUCAAACCAAGAGAAAACAGAGAGAGAGAGAGAGAGAAGAAGGAGAAGAAGGGAGGCUACUGAAUUGUGUGUGGGAGGCACCCUGCAAUAGUGAGUUGUGUCCUAUCGCAGGCCACACACACACACACACACACACAUAUAUAUAUAAGUCCAAAUGGGGUGGUAAGUUAGGGGACCAAAGUACCCCUAAUCCACUUAUUAUAAUAACUAAAGAAGUACUAAGCCGUAUAGGACAGAAUUGCCCCGAGAGCUUUAACAGGUUUUAUGUAUUAUUUUUUAAAUGACAAUAGUGGGGAUGUGCACUCUCAUAGACCUUGGAAAGUUGGCAGUAUCUAACGACUUUGUGCCCCAUUUCGAUACUGCAGGUUGUCGACCAUUGUGGAAACUCGGUUGAAGUUGUAGAUGCUGCUUUUGCUCAUGGCCAUGUCAUUGUUCUAGUGACUAAACGUGUCCCGUUGGUAAUGGAUAUUGUUCUUGCAAAGUUCAUAGAGCUAGCAUCUACACUGUUCCAAAUCAUAGACAUUUCUUCGAGUCGGCAUUCAAUAGUAAAGAAGGUGGGAAGAUUGAAAGUACCAGGCAAUUUUUGGACCGCAUUAAAUGUUAUGACACUUUAUGGUGCACUGGUUCAGGUUGACUGAAGUUGAUGGUGUCCAAAACAUGCUUAAGGAGAAAUGGGCACGGCUUGCAAGGUUCUUGACGAGAACAAUAUUAUCAUCACACGAAUUGAUAAAAGGAGAUUGAUGUACCUCCACACGUGAAGUUAUACAAAUUGUAUCUUACAUCUACGGUUCUAAAAUCUCCAUAUUCCAUAGCAUAUUUUUUGGCAACAGAUGAAGCAAGGAUUUUCUUCAUCUCAGACUGUUGUUCUUUAAAAUAUAAUGAAGGACCUGCAGAGGGAUAAUCAAUGUGAGUGGCAGUGACCUGACAUGCACCCCCCAGCCAUUGGAUGGUCACUGCACGCUUGCUGCCUCCCCGCAAAGGAUCAGGGCACCAUUACAUCACCAUUUGAUUUGUGCAGUUGAAUAUGAUUGUGCGACCAUGGUAGAUAAGUGACUCUCAUUCUGCGAGUAUGACCCCAACAGGAAACGGCAACAAUAGUUGAGUAUGAUCAUUCCAUUCUUGGGCAUGUUUCUAUUGUAGAAAGUUCCUGAUUUGCUAAUGAGUUAGUAUGAAGUUGAGCUUCAUAAAUGAGAUGAAAUGAGAUGGGAGAAGGGUACAUGAGGGUAACUAGCUGUUAGCAAAUUGUUUAUUAGAGUAACAAACUCUCAAAUUUC